This 253-nucleotide ribosomal RNA is filed under the name uncultured bacterium. RNAcentral describes it as "partial 16S ribosomal RNA". It matches the Rfam family "Bacterial small subunit ribosomal RNA", at positions 524 to 776 of the family's 1533-position model. The record is from RNAcentral.
UACGGGGGGUGCAAGCGUUGUUCGGAAUUAUUGGGCGUAAAGCGUGCGCAGGCGGUUCGCCAAGUCAGGUGUGAAAGCCCCGGGCUCAACCUGGGAAUGGCAUGGGAAACUGGCGAGCUGGAGUGUGGCAGAGGGGGGUGGAAUUCCGCGUGUAGCAGUGAAAUGCGUAGAGAUGCGGAGGAACACCGAUGGCGAAGGCAACCCCCUGGGCUGACACUGACGCUCAGGCACGAAAGCGUGGGGAGCAAACAGG